This 1646-nucleotide long non-coding RNA is filed under the name Lactuca sativa (garden lettuce). RNAcentral describes it as "long non-coding RNA (LSAT_LNC003529)". Lineage: Eukaryota; Viridiplantae; Streptophyta; Magnoliopsida; Asterales; Asteraceae. The record is from RNAcentral.
AAAAUGAUGACAUGAUUAAUUCUGUAGCAAAAUACAUACAUAAGUAACUAAAAAAUUCCCAAAGUAAAUUUAUAAUAAAAUAAACAUUAUAAAAUUGCAAUAAACAAUAAAAAAGUUACAUAAAUUCUUAAUGAAAAAUAGUUUAUGAUCGAAUUAAAUUAUGAUUUGUCCAAAACACCAACAAAACUAAUCUAAUAGUCAAACUCAAAUAGAAAUCCUAAACAUGCAAUAAAAAAAAAACUUGUCACUUAUUAUUUGUGUUUCUCAUAUCAUUGACUAUAUUUCUCAUGUCAUUAAAGUUCUUCGGUUGUCUACUUUUCUCAUAUCAUUGACCAUAUUUCUCAUGUCAAAAUGAUGUUUUUUAGAAGUUGUCUCAGGUGAAGUGUAUGUUUGAGAAGAGUUUUCAUGAAAAAUGGACGUGCCAUAUGAUCCAAGCCCAUAAAUUCUUCUCUUAUGGUCAUGUCCUCCGAUAGAUGUAUAAAACAGUUCACUUUCAUCAACUUCCUUUCCUAACAGUGCCAAAUCCGCACGUCGAGACACAAAAAAUCCUACAAUGUUAUUGUUGCAUUAAUAUAUAGUUUAUACAAGAUUUUUUAAGUUUAUAUUAUCAAAUAAAUUAAAAUUAAGCUUACAUAAACCUCUUUAGCUUUGUUAACAUGAAAAGUCUUCCCCUCGUGAUCCUUAGUAUGAGUAAACAUGAAUAUAUAUCAUAGCAUGACGGAGAUUGUCCCGUAUAUUCCUCCUACAUUGAUAUCAUACAUAUGUAAAAUCUCACCUAAAGAUGUAUAUUCAUGUGUGGCCUUGUUGGAGCUCCUUUUAAUGGGAAUGGAGACAUCUGUACUUUAAUAUAACGAGUGCAUUAGAAAUACAACAUUACAAGUUUUAAAUAUACUAAUUUGCAACAAAAAUAAUUUUGCAGGAACUUGAUACCAUUAAAAUUCAUAAUAUGAAUAAUAUUUCGUUCACAUAUUCAGUCUACACUAAUGCAUAGGGGCCUAAGCUUGUUGUUGAACUAAUCAGAUUAUAAGCAUUAUUUAAUUACGUAUUCAAGAUCAUAAGCAUAUAAAGAGUAACUAAAAGAAUUUGAUACCAUUAAAAUUGUUUCGAUACCCACAAAAAUUGAACAGAGGAAGCAAAUAAGUCGUGCCAGGGGAAAAUAAAAGAGAAGAAAAAACAUGUUGUAGUUAAUUAUCACCCUUUUUAAUAUUUGAAAGUCAAUGCUUGAAGUUACAAAAAAAAAACAUUUGGUUGUAAAUAAAGGCCUGAUUGAUUCUGGUCCUUUUCUUACUUUUGUUGUUGAUGGCUAAAGAAGAUGAUCGACGGAAGAAUAUAAAAGCGAAGGAAAAAAAUAAACCUGGAAACGCAAGGAUUAGAAGCACCGAAUAGUGGAAAGAAUGGAAACACGACCAAAGACGUAUAGUGAAAUUCUCCUCUGUGUGGGUAAGUUAUGCAUAAAUAAUGGGGGAACGGUUUUGAUGGGAGUGGAUAUAGGAUUUCUGUUUACCCGGGAGUGGGAUAGGAAACUAAAAAAAUUUGAAUAUUUUGGAAAAAAUUUGUUUGGCCAGGAGUUAUGAAAGGAAAUUUUAAAAUACAUAUUAUUUUUUCCUUAAUAUACAAUAAAUGAGGGAAGAUAUAUAAGGUAGAAU